This 253-nucleotide ribosomal RNA is filed under the name uncultured bacterium. Its description in RNAcentral is "partial 16S ribosomal RNA". It matches the Rfam family "Bacterial small subunit ribosomal RNA", at positions 524 to 776 of the family's 1533-position model. The record is from RNAcentral.
UACGGAGGGUGCAAACGUUGCUCGGAAUCAUUGGGCGUAAAGCGCACGUAGGCGGUCUGUUAAGUCGGAUGUGAAAGCCCCGGGCUCAACCCGGGAAGUGCAUACGAAACUGGCGGACUUGAAUAUGGAAGAGGGUCGCGGAAUUCCCGGUGUAGAGGUGAAAUUCGUAGAUAUCGGGAGGAACACCAGUGGCGAAGGCGGCGACCUGGGCCAAUAUUGACGCUAAUGUGCGAAAGCGUGGGGAGCAAACAAG